CCUACGGGAGGCAGCAGUGAGGAAUAUUGGUCAAUGGACGAGAGUCUGAACCAGCCAAGUAGCGUGAAGGAUGACUGCCCUAUGGGUUGUAAACUUCUUUUAUAUGGGAAUAAAAUGUUCCAAGUGUGGGAUUUUGUAUGUACCAUAUGAAUAAGGAUCGGCUAACUCCGUGCCAGCAGCCGCGGUAAUACGGGGGCUCCGAGCGUUAUCCGGAUUUAUUGGGUUUAAAGGGAGCGUAGGUGGAUUGUUAAGUCAGUUGUGAAAGUUUGCGGCUCAACCAUAAAAUUGCAGUUGAAACUGGCAGUCUUGAGUACAGUAGAGGUAGGCGGAAUGCGUGGUGUAGCGGUGAAAUGCUUAGAUAUCACGAAGAACUCCGAUUGCGAAGGCAGUUCACUGGACUGCAACUGACACUGAGGCUCGAAAGUGUGGGUAUCAAACAGGAUUAGAUACCCUAGUAGUC
RNAcentral lists this ribosomal RNA (460 nucleotides) under uncultured bacterium. RNAcentral's name for it is "partial 16S ribosomal RNA". It matches the Rfam family "Bacterial small subunit ribosomal RNA", at positions 338 to 795 of the family's 1533-position model. The record is from RNAcentral.